UUAUUAUUGAAUCAUUCAAUUGCACUAAUUAUAAUUAACAAGUUUUUAAUGAAUAAUUUAGUGAAUUGUUUCGCUAGUGUAUCUAAAUAGAAUUUUCUUUCAGUUAAUUAUAUCUCAGGUUGGUAUUGUUACAUACGAUCGAUAAUCCGAAUCGAUAAUAACGUAAAAGAGACUGAAGUUAAAAGAAGCAAUAAAUAAAAGUUUGCUGUUCAAUCUAUACGAUUAAUUAGGAAGAAAUCGAGUACGCUUGUUCGAUAGUUGAAUUAAUAUCGACUACAAAGAAGCGAGCAUUCGAGUUAUCAAUCAUCGAUGAAUACUGUGCAAAAAAGACAUUAUCAACGAAUGUAAAUUUUCCCGUCAUAUUAAUGUUUAAAAUACUGUUUCUAGAGAAUAUACAUAUAUUUCACUAUAUAAGUUACAAAGUUAUCGUAUCGGCAAGAUAUUACAAAAAUAACAUAAAAAAUAUAAUGCAUUAAUUUAAAAACAUAGCUGUUCGAUAAAAUUGAAAUUGCGUGCGCAGAAGCGUACAGGAAAUUUCGAUAAACGUUACAGAAUACCGAUCAACAAUCGAAUUGGUCCGAUAUUUAAAAAGUUAUCAGUGCGAAAUUCACGUAAUAAGCCUUAACACCGUAAACGUGAGUAAAACAGUUGCACUACGUCUGUGGUGUCAACAAGGUUUUUAUUAACCUCCUUGAAGUUCGUGAAUUCAACUCUGCAACGUAUCGAUCGAUCGUUUACGAUCUAAAAUUUCAACUUACCUUUUGCCGUACCGCUGCUCUAAUGUGCCUGUAACGAGGCAACGAUCGAAGAUCGGAACUGUCAAAUGUCCAAGGAAGGAAUAACUAAAA
Osmia bicornis bicornis is the source of this 848-nucleotide long non-coding RNA. RefSeq lists it as uncharacterized. The transcript is spliced from 2 exons. The record is from RefSeq and is a predicted model, not a curated record. NCBI's taxonomy places the organism in Eukaryota, Metazoa, Arthropoda, Insecta, Hymenoptera, Megachilidae.